AUUUAUUUAGUAUAAAUAACUAGUACAUUUAGCUUCCAACUAAAAAGAUUUAAAAUAAAAUAAAUA
Molecule: transfer RNA, 66 nt
Filed under: Oligolophus tienmushanensis
Lineage: Eukaryota; Metazoa; Arthropoda; Arachnida; Opiliones; Phalangiidae
Description: tRNA-Gly
Source: RNAcentral